This 1190-nucleotide long non-coding RNA is filed under the name Mus musculus (house mouse). RNAcentral describes it as "long non-coding RNA chr3:85342084-85343274". Lineage: Eukaryota; Metazoa; Chordata; Mammalia; Rodentia; Muridae. The record is from RNAcentral.
GAGCAGGUACUGUAUUGCCUGGCUUAUGCAGAAAGGGAUCCCACAGGGUAAGCAAAAUGCCAGAAGGUAUCUGCAGCCCAGUAGUUACCUCAGAGAUGGAGCAGGAGUGUACUGGGGGCAUCUAGACAAGACUCAAGCUGAACAAGAGAAGAGGAGAGGAGCAGUCUAGAAUGAGGAACCAGGGUUCCAUGAUAUUGUCACUGAUGGUCAGUACUUUCCAUUGCUUGGGGAAGACUCGGGGUCAAAAUGAGUACUGUGGUCAAUGUUGUUCCGAGGCCAGGCCAUCCGAAUCUCUUCACUUGUUCACUUGAUACUAGUGAAUGAAUAGCUAUUAUAUACUUGAAUAUGUCAUACUAUGCCAGUACUUUUUGUUCCUAUGAACAGAUUUCUAUGAACAGAGCCAGCAGAAAUUUACCUCUCAGUGGAGUUUGAGUUCUAGGGAAGCCAGGGACUCCACAACCCUUGUCCAUUAGAUGUGAACAAGUCACUUAUGUGGUUUUCUCUUUGAGACCAGAGCUGCUGCCAAGGGAGAUGGUGGUGAUGGUGGGGGCAGUCUGGGAAAAAAUGCUUGCCAGGAAAUGAGCUGGAGGGUCUGACCACUGCAGAGGCCCAUCCACCACCUUGCUGGGUGGAGACAUCUUCUUGCAGCUUGGAGAAGCAUUACAAGUCAAUAACAAUUUUCUAAGAUGUUUCUAAUUUUUAAACAUGUAACUAUAGUUACAAGGCUUCAGAGAACCAUCUGCUAGACUUUAAUUUGCUUCUCAGGACCAAGAGGAUUGUAGAUCAUGGACUAACACAUUCAGAAACAAUCUUUCCUCUAUAUUCACAGCUUUAAAAAAAAUCAUAUGUACUAGCACCAACUUACUUUCCCAUUCUGUCCUUGAAUUUCUCUCCCACGUUUUCUUGUUGAUGGACAGGCACAAAACAACCUCAGGAGUGUGGUAUGUGAGGUUUUGAUGGGCUCUAUAGCAUGCAACUGUGAAGUGAUUUGAAAUGUUUUCCACAGGAAUGGUGUUUCUCUUUUGUGGUGGGGCAAAGGCUGGCCUUGAACUCUCAAUCUCCCAGAGAGUCAUUAACGUACUCAAAAUGGAGGAACGUAUGGAAUGAACAUCUAAGGCCCACAGGUAGAAUGAUAUGGUAAAGAUUAGACUUUUAAUCCAUAAUUCUUUUAAAAAAUACAUUUACAAACC